GUAGAUAUAGUUUAAAGAAAAUAUUAGAUUGUGAUUCUAAGGAUAGGGGUGAAACCCCCCUUAUCCACC
This 69-nucleotide transfer RNA is filed under the name Eumesogrammus praecisus (fourline snakeblenny). RNAcentral describes it as "tRNA-His". It matches the Rfam family "tRNA". From Rfam's summary of the family: Transfer RNA (tRNA) molecules are approximately 80 nucleotides in length. Their secondary structure includes four short double-helical elements and three loops (D, anti-codon, and T loops). Further hydrogen bonds mediate the characteristic L-shaped molecular structure. tRNAs have two regions of fundamental functional importance: the anti-codon, which is responsible for specific mRNA codon recognition, and the 3' end, to which the tRNAs corresponding amino acid is attached (by aminoacyl-tRNA synthetases). tRNAs cope with the degeneracy of the genetic code in two manners: having more than one tRNA (with a specific anti-codon) for a particular amino acid; and 'wobble' base-pairing, i.e. permitting non-standard base-pairing at the 3rd anti-codon position. RNAcentral also lists the same sequence under 1 other name. The record is from RNAcentral. Lineage: Eukaryota; Metazoa; Chordata; Actinopteri; Perciformes; Stichaeidae.